Molecule: long non-coding RNA, 828 nt
Filed under: Mytilus galloprovincialis (Mediterranean mussel)
Lineage: Eukaryota; Metazoa; Mollusca; Bivalvia; Mytilida; Mytilidae
Source: RNAcentral
CAUGUCCACGAUGGUUCCACGGUGGGUACAGAACAGAAAUAAAAAUUGUAAUUGUACUGUCGUAGGAGUGCGAAAGUCGUACGACAAUCGUGAGUUGUUUUGUGCUAUUUUUCAGGUUUUCAUAUCAUGGGAUGCUACUUUCAUACGACUGUCGCACAACAGUCAUGGGUAACUCGCGCGUUUAACUCCGAACUGCUUGUAUAUAAAGAAGGCCCGCGAUUUAUUGCGUCAUUUUCUAUUUGCUUUCAAUAUUGUCCAGUGUCAUUAUAACUUCGGUCAAAAUAAACGACGUUUUUCGUAUAAGUUGAAACUGAUGGAGACGAACGACCCUGCUAAUAAUGUCGUCACUGUGACGGGGGACGGGGAGUAGUCUAUGGACAUUCCCGCCAAAUUACAUUUUUCUGAAUAAAACAAUAAUAUGUUGCACGACGAACUUACCACUGUUGUACGACAAACAAUCAAUUUUGUGCGAGCAUCGUACGAAAUUUGGUAAUCUUGAGACAAUCAUGCGACUGUAUUACGAGUGACUUGCGGCAGUCGUGAGAUUGUUGAACGGCAGUCAAGCGACUGUCGUACGAUUGUUUUUAUUUAAAUGGUUUAUGUUGGUACCCACAACAAUGUGUUUAUUGCACGGCAGUUCAUUUUUUUAAAUUUCCUGUUUCAAAAUUUGAAUUUUUAGAAAAAAAAACUAAGGAUUUUCUUAUCCCAGCCGUAUUUGGCACAACCUAUUUGGAAUUUUGGGUCCUCAAUGCUCUUCAACUUUUUACUUUUUUAAACGAAAUUCAUUUUAGAUUAUCAUUAUUUCAGCUUGACUGUAAACUCCCCCAC